Molecule: ribosomal RNA, 547 nt
Filed under: uncultured bacterium
Lineage: Bacteria
Description: bacterial SSU rRNA
Rfam family: Bacterial small subunit ribosomal RNA
Source: RNAcentral
AAGAACGCUGGCGGCAGGCCUAAGACAUGCAAGUCGUACGCGAACGACCUUUCGGGGUUAAGUAGAGUGGCGAACGGGUUAGUAACGCGUGGGAACAUACACAGCACAGGGGGAUAACCAUUGGAAACGAUGGCUAAUACCGCAUACGCCCUAUUGGGGAAAGAUUUAUCGGUGUUGGAUUGGCCCGCGUUAGAUUAGCUAGUUGGUGGGGUAAUGGCUCACCAAGGCGACGAUUUAUAGCUGGUUUGAGAGGAUGAUCAGCAACACUGGAACUGAGACACGGUCCAGACUCCUACGGGAGGCAGCAGUCGGGAAUAUUGUGCAAUGGGGGCAACCCUGACACAGCCAUGCCGCGUGAGUGAAGAAGGCCUUAGGGUUGUAAAGCUCUCUCAGAUGUGAGGAUGAUGACGAUAGCAUCAGAAGAAGCUCCGGCUAACUUCGUGCCAGCAGCCGCGGUAAUACGAAGGGAGCUAGCGUUGUUCGGAAUUACUGGGCGUAAAGGGCGUGUAGGCGGAUUAUCAAGUUAGGGGUGAAAUCCCGGGGCUCA